RNAcentral lists this transfer RNA (65 nucleotides) under Dipodomys ordii (Ord's kangaroo rat). It matches the Rfam family "tRNA". From Rfam's summary of the family: Transfer RNA (tRNA) molecules are approximately 80 nucleotides in length. Their secondary structure includes four short double-helical elements and three loops (D, anti-codon, and T loops). Lineage: Eukaryota; Metazoa; Chordata; Mammalia; Rodentia; Heteromyidae. The record is from Rfam by way of RNAcentral.
GGUGGCUCAGUGCUAGAGUGCUUGCCUUGCAUGCAUGAGGCCCUGGGUUUGAUUCCCCAGCACCA